Cryptotermes secundus is the source of this 3176-nucleotide long non-coding RNA. RefSeq lists it as uncharacterized. The transcript has 2 exons. NCBI's taxonomy places the organism in Eukaryota, Metazoa, Arthropoda, Insecta, Blattodea, Kalotermitidae. The record is from RefSeq and is a predicted model, not a curated record.
GAUAUAAGCGUUGUCAAGGUUAUGUUAUGUCACUGAUUUAAGCUUGUAUGUCAUUUUGAUUUGUGACACCUUAAACAAUCUCUGCCAAUUAAAGUGCAAAGAAACUGGGUCAUGGGUGUUCACAAUGUCAGUGCAAGUAGACGUACACAAAUGUUUCUCAUGAAAAUGCAACAAAGUCUCAUAUGUAACACAACACAAGUAUACAAAUGGUUUUUUCCAGAACACUGAAAGCUAUCAACUAGACGGCGUCAUGUCACAGUCAACAGAAAUAUGCUGUUAAUCAUGGAACUUCAAAUCAGACGUGCAGUUGUUAUGUCCAACAACCGCAAUUCAUGGGCAGAUGGAUUUGAACUAUUUUUUUUUUGUUGCAUUUAUACGUAGGAUUAUAAAGUCCCCAAAGACCCUCAUUCUUGCCAUAUUUUUCAGUCUACUAACUAUAUAUAACUCAAAAUUUUACAUAAACUUCCACCAAGUGUCUGGCCUAAUAUCAGCAGGGAUGUCAUGGUUCGCAAGAGGUAGAUGGAUACAAACACUUUGAAGGAUCACACUGUCUCAAUCUUCAAGGUGACACAGUAUGGUGGGACCACAGUUAGGUUAUAUAGCAAGUUAUCUUGGAGAGCAGAAGACUGAGCCCAGAGGAAAACAUGUUUCUCUGAAAUGUUACAGUCUGGUUACAACACCAAAGGAAUGUCACAAACUGAAAGAUCACUAUCAGAAAGUAUUUAAGUUUUGAGAAAGCAAAUAUGAAUUUGCAGCAGAAUUCGAAAUAAAAUUUACAAAUGUAAUAUGCAUUAUAAUGAAAUGUAGAAAGGAAAAGUACAUCAUAACAAGUGACAUGAAGCAGCUUAUCAUGACUGGGACAGCAGUACAGAUCAGGGGCAUCAGGGAUGGAAACCAAAAUACUGUUCUGCCCAUGGAGCUCUAAGUACCAUGCUUGUUCAUAACAGAAAUACAUACAGGCAUCCUACUUUUUCUGAAACCAUACUUGGUUUCUGGCUUGAGGUUGCUACAAUGAAAAAAGUAAAGAACUUCCUUACCCCAGUUUUCAAAAUAAGUGGCUCUUGCUUAUUUCUUAAAGGAGGCACCAAUUUAUGGAUUGUACUCUGAUUUUAUUCAUAUGUCACUGAAAAUGUCUAGAGUCAGUACAUUGGCUGUGGUGUGUAAGCGUGUCAUAACUGUGUCAGCAAUGAUGGCUACAUGAACCUUUUUCAUUACUUGUGGAUCACAUUUUGUUCUUCCAGGAGUGCAUGGCCUUCGCCAUCCAUAUAGACAACACGAAACAACAGUUUGAUGGGAUAUGGUUUUUAACCUCAUUGACAUUUAGUUACUUGUUCUGUACAUUGCAAUGAUGUCUUGUAUAAACAACCAUGUGAGGCAUAUGACAAUGAUUCACAAGGUCAAAACCAUUCCAUGAUAAGUCUUUUAAAAGGAAAACUAACUUCUCUUCAUUUACUUUUCCACGUUAAGUUUCCAUUACUCAACACACAAAAAUAACAUCAUUAUUUUUAAACUUAACAGGCAAAACAACUAUGGACUAUAAAAACAAUAAACUAGCACCAAGAAAUUAGGCUUUCCAAAGGAACUACUGCAACAAAUUCUGUCUGCUGUAAUCUACCCUGACUCAGUUCAAUUUCUCACAUUUUGUUCCAAUAACAGAACUGUUAUUCACAAAAUCAAGCAUGUCUUACAAUAUGUACCCAUUUAAAUUCAGCGAGGACAAAACUGAAAUAUGUUCAGAAAAGCCUUCUAAUAUUCAGAAUCAGAAAUGUCUAUGUGGUAAGAUUCAAGUGCAUCCCUUGCAUAGCCAUAAUCACAACACACUUUACUUUAUUUACAUAUGGUUCAUGUAAUAACACUGUCAGUAACUUGGACUGUGACAGGAUGAUUAGCAAAUAAUGGAUCGGGACAGUAGCAUGGGGCACCACAUUCGAACAGCAACUUGGCAGUCAUUAUUCCUUUCCCCACACUCUGAAUGAGAGCAAGAACUUAUCUAGCAGCUAUAUUAUCCUGGUAUUUGCCAGACAGGCCUGAGGAAAAUUAUGAAACCCUCACCCUCCAUAUUGAGAUUCCAACAUAGGACCUCUCAAUUAUCAAGCAAGAGUACUAUCCACUCAACAGGGAUAUUCUGUACAUUUAUUUAUGAAGAGGAAAUGAGGAAUAUAUGACAUGAUUUUACUGAAUAAUCCAACUGCCUGAUGUCCUGGGCUGUGGGACUCCUACUCAUUCAGUUUUCACUAGCUUUCUUAAUGGCCAAGAAACUUUACAGUAUGUUAAUUCAUUCAUUUUCUAUAUAUCUGUGGGAACUGCCCACAUUCAAGCAAGUGUGACAACACAAGCGUCAUUGCUUAGCAACAACAAGUCGCUGAACUCUUCUGCCGAAGUGCGCCGACGUCCGUGGGUUCAUCAACGCUAGCGAGUUCAGCAACUUGUUGUUGCUAAGCAAUGACGCUUGCGUUGUAGGAUUUAUUGCAGCUGCACAGUAUACACAGAUGGCAUCUCCUCGUCUGUGAAGUAAAAAACCUAAUAUGUGGAAAUAGUGAUGAAAAAAUAUCAUGGCAAAAUAAAUAUGCACAAUGUACGAGUUAUUGUUAAACAAAUAAACAAUCCAUUUCAUUACUAAGUGGAUUCUAAUAAACAUUUUCUGUACUCAGUUCUGUUUAUCCUAUGAAAAAUAAAAUGCUACAACAGAACUAUUCAUAAAGUUAUUUUACUUAUCUCUUCAUCAUUUUUUUGUCAUUUCUACAAACUGUCAAUUUGUAGUGUUCACUGGGUGUUGUAAACCUCACCUUAAUGUAAUGCCAUAACCUGGGUUCAUAGGAAUCAUCGCUACCAGCUCCAGAUCACUUGCAUUUUUUUUGGCAAAAUGGUUUAUUGGUUGGGGGGGAGUAUGAGUCUGAUAUACCUGUACAGAAGUUCUGUUAUGAUUUCACUGAGUUGAUGUGAUGAAUGUAUUUUCUGAAGACGAAACAAAAGUAGGCAUAUAUCUCAUGACACUGCUCAGACCUGUCUUGGAUAGAAGGAAUGAGGAUAGUUGAAGGUGUAGAAAGCAUAUUCUAGAGUUAUAUUCACAUUUUAAUGACUUAAAUAUUGUCAGCAAUAUUUUAAGAUGGUACAGAACCUAUUAAACAACUAAACCUUAAUAGCACAAAGGUGUAGGUAGCUGAAAAUAAGUUGGC